Acanthosepion pharaonis is the source of this 99-nucleotide non-coding RNA. Lineage: Eukaryota; Metazoa; Mollusca; Cephalopoda; Sepiida; Sepiidae. The record is from the annotation of a GenBank genome assembly.
GUUGAAACACCGGUUUCUGUAUGAUCGCUGAAGUUAAGCAAUGUCAAGCUUAGUCAGUACCUAGAUGGUUGACCACUUGGGAAUACCAGGUGCUGUAAG